GACGUAGGAGGCGAGCGUUGUCCGGAUUCAUUGGGCGUAAAGAGCACGCAGGCGGUUUGGCAAGUCGGAUGUGAAAACCCGAAGCUCAACUUCGGGCCUGCAUCCGAAACUGCCCGACUAGAGGUAGGUAGGGGAGAUCGGAAUUCCUGGUGUAGCGGUGAAAUGCGCAGAUAUCAGGAGGAACACCGGUGGCGAAGGCGGAUCUCGUGGG
Molecule: ribosomal RNA, 211 nt
Filed under: uncultured bacterium
Lineage: Bacteria
Description: partial 16S ribosomal RNA
Rfam family: Bacterial small subunit ribosomal RNA
Source: RNAcentral